Molecule: ribosomal RNA, 263 nt
Filed under: uncultured Synechococcus sp.
Lineage: Bacteria; Bacillati; Cyanobacteriota; Cyanophyceae; Synechococcales; Synechococcaceae
Description: partial 16S ribosomal RNA
Rfam family: Bacterial small subunit ribosomal RNA
Source: RNAcentral
UCCCAUAAACCGUGGCUCAGUUCAGAUCGUAGGCUGCAACUCGCCUACGUGAAGGCGGAAUCGCUAGUAAUCGCAGGUCAGCAUACUGCGGUGAAUACGUUCCCGGGCCUUGUACACACCGCCCGUCACACCAUGGAAGUUGGCCACGCCCGAAGCCGUUACUCCAACCCUUGUGGAGGAGGACGUCGAAGGUGGGGCUGAUGACUGGGGUGAAGUCGUAACAAGGUAUCCGUACCGGAAGGUGCGGAUGGAUCACCUCCUAA